Oryza nivara is the source of this 205-nucleotide non-coding RNA. The record is from Rfam. Lineage: Eukaryota; Viridiplantae; Streptophyta; Magnoliopsida; Poales; Poaceae.
AAAAAGACAAACCGUGGGUUUCCGUGCCAACGUUUGACUAUCCGUCUUAUAUGAAAUUUUUUUAUAAUUAGUAUUUUCAUUGUUGUUAGAUGAUAAAAUAUGAUUAAUACUUUAUGCGUGACUUAUCUUUUUAAUUUUUUUAUAAUUUUUUCAAAAUAAAACGGACGAUUAAACGUUGGACACGGAAACCAGGGUUUGUCUUUUU